RNAcentral lists this ribosomal RNA (301 nucleotides) under uncultured bacterium. RNAcentral's name for it is "partial 16S ribosomal RNA". It matches the Rfam family "Bacterial small subunit ribosomal RNA", at positions 509 to 807 of the family's 1533-position model. The record is from RNAcentral.
CAGCAGCCACGGUAAUACGUAGGGUGCAAGUGUUAAUCGGAAUUACUGGGCGUAAAGCGUGCGCAGGCGGUUAUAUAAGACAGAUGUGAAAUCCCCGGGCUCAACCUGGGAACUGCAUUUGUGACUGUAUAGCUAGAGUACGGCAGAGGGGGAUGGAAUUCCGCGUGUAGCAGUGAAAUGCGUAGAUAUGCGGAGGAACACCGAUGGCGAAGGCAAUCCCCUGGGCCUGUACUGACGCUCAUGCACGAAAGCGUGGGGAGCAAACAGGAUUAGAUACCCCGGUAGUCCCUGUCUCUUAUAC